This 389-nucleotide ribosomal RNA is filed under the name uncultured bacterium. Its description in RNAcentral is "bacterial SSU rRNA". It matches the Rfam family "Bacterial small subunit ribosomal RNA", at positions 30 to 417 of the family's 1533-position model. The record is from RNAcentral.
AUUGAACGCUGGCGGCAUGCUUUACACAUGCAAGUCGAACGGCAGCACGGGGGCAACCCUGGUGGCGAGUGGCGAACGGGUGAGUAAUAUAUCGGAACGUACCCGGAAGUGGGGGAUAACGUAGCGAAAGUUACGCUAAUACCGCAUAUGCCCUAAGGGGGAAAGCGGGGGAUUCGCAAGAACCUCGCGUUUUCGGAGCGGCCGAUAUCGGAUUAGCUAGUAGGUGAGGUAAAGGCUCACCUAGGCGACGAUCCGUAGCUGGUCUGAGAGGACGACCAGCCACACUGGAACUGAGACACGGUCCAGACUCCUACGGGAGGCAGCAGUGGGGAAUUUUGGACAAUGGGCGCAAGCCUGAUCCAGCCAUGCCGCGUGAGUGAAGAAGGCCU